AUGCUCAACAUUGGGGCUGUGCUGCUGUUACUAAUUGGUGUGACGGAUGGUGUGAAGACCUUCUGCAACGCCACACAGCCACACAUCACGACCCAGUGCUUUGGCUCUCUGGGAGGAACCGUGGAGGUCCUGCUCGUGCUGCCUACUCAGUCCUCACAAAAUGAUACCUUCAGACUGAAGAACAACAAUGUCACGAUUUUAUCAGAACGCAAUCAGACAAACAUUCGAUAUUCAUUUAAUGUCAGUACUGGAAUAUUUACUAUAAAGGACAUCGACAGGACAGACAAUGAUGAAUACUCAAUGGAAGUACAUAAUGCAUCUGGAAACCAAGUAGCAUUUACGAAAUGUUAUUUAACCAUUGAAGCCCCGGCCUCCUCUCCCCUCCUGUCCCGGCAGUGUCUGUCCCGGGGACAGCAGAGGGUGUCCUGCUCUGCCGGGGGGGACGGACUCCACUACAGCUGGAGUCCAGACGGACUCCCGCUGAACGACACGCGUGUCCACUCCGGACCCGGUAACGCUAGUGACGUCACUCUGGAGGUGGGCUGGGCGGGACUGGUCACCUGCUCGGUCAGCAACAACGUGAGCCACGCCGCGGCUAACAUCACCUUGUCUGUGUGUGACGAGCUCGUCCCUAUAAUAGCUGGUUCCCUGUCAGCGAUAGCACUGCUCCUGAUAGUAGUAUUGGGAGUCUACUGCGCAAAAAAGCACAAAACCUCAAAAGACACCACAGAGGCGGAGGAUGUAACCUACGCAGACAUCUCUGUGCUCCAGCGUCAGGGGCAGCGGAGAGAGCAGGGGGCGGG
Molecule: long non-coding RNA, 803 nt
Filed under: Gadus morhua (Atlantic cod)
Lineage: Eukaryota; Metazoa; Chordata; Actinopteri; Gadiformes; Gadidae
Description: lncRNA (ENSGMOG00000031537.1)
Source: RNAcentral